Molecule: long non-coding RNA, 3280 nt
Filed under: Apis mellifera (honey bee)
Lineage: Eukaryota; Metazoa; Arthropoda; Insecta; Hymenoptera; Apidae
Description: uncharacterized LOC102655462, transcript variant X1
Source: RNAcentral
CAAAGUGACUGAUCUUAAUUUAAGUAACACGUAUUGAAAAAUACAGAAAGUAGAUAGGGACAAUUAGAAAAAAAUAGCAGCGUGGAACAAGGGACAAGAAAAUUAUCCAAUAUAUGUCAUGUUUUUUUCGCUAUGUCGCACUGCGGAAAAUAAAAUAAGAAAAUAGCAUGAUUUGCGCGAACGAAACGAAUAGAAGCUCGCGAUUCGCAAGCAGAACUGCGACGAAAUGAAACAGAGAGAGAAAGAUAAAGACAGGCGAGAGAAAUACAUGUUGAAACGGCAGACAAUCAAUAAGAAUAAAUAAACUGAAAAUAAAAGAAAAAAAAAAAAUUACAAAUUAUACAUAAAACUAAGAAGCCAUAAAUUAAAUUAACAUAAUUUCAAAGAUUAAUUACACAAAUGAAAAUAAAAGUAAAUUUAAAUUGGUGUUAAGAAAGAAAGUAAUGAUUAAUAGAGAUAAAGAUAGACUUGGAUAAAAGAGUAAUGAAGUACGUCAAACAUAAAGCACCAGUAAGAAGAAAAACUUAAACUGGUUAAUGAAAAAGAAAAAAAAAAAAGAAAAAAAAAAGAAAAAAAAAAAGAAAAAAAAAGGAAAAAAAAAAAACAAAACCAUUGAAAAUAAAAUCAGAUCAUAAUAAUAAUAAAGAAUUAAUAUUUAAGAACGGUCAAACAGUGCGGAGAUUGGACUUGCGGACUAACCAUAUAGUAAUCCUGAGAGGGGGAUCUGCCUGUCACAGAUACAUUCUGCACCAGAGUUCUUUUGCUCGUCUGAAACUAAUGCAGGAUAUAUCGCAAGAUCAAAAGGGCUAAAACAUGAGGUACGCAUCAUCGAGGUAACACGGCAAAGAACUCAAAUGAAAAUGCAAACCAAGUGGAUAAUCGACUGACAGUGGCACAACGGUGAUCAGAAGUGGCUGAGAAAGGAAAGCAAACGAACAGAGAGACAUAUAGGCUGUUUCAGAGUUGCUAAACGUAUAACAGAUAUCCGAGUUUCAAUAUGAUUACAAGAGGCCUGCAACUACGAAACAACCAGUAAUAUAUGCACACAUACAAGAAAAAUGUUGCGACGUGUAAAAAAAUGAGCCAACGAACGAGGGGAUGCAAUGUGAGGUGCAAUGCGGACAAAGUGAGCGAUAAAUGCGGCUUUCUUCUGAUGAAAAACGAUCGGAGAUGCAAGAUCUCCGUUACCUGUACAAAGGAGGGACAAUUUUUCAAGUAAAGCUCAAGAAAAAUCCGCAACUACUUCUCUAUAUAUAUAUAUAUAUCCUACAACAAAUGGCUCAGUAAAAGCUUCAACAAAGCGCGAAUGCAGAAGAUUAAUAUUAAAAGAUGUGAGAAAUAGAACCCCAUAUUAUUAUAUGCAUGUGUUUCAUUACUUCAUUUUCCAUAAUUGUAACACGUGCUUGUUUUUAUUGCGGAUCAGAACAACCACACAGAAGCAUCCCAGUUAUACAUAUAUAUAUGUAUAUGUAUAUGUAUACAUUGAUAACCAUUUCUUUUAUUCAAUUUAUGCUUAUGUUAUUUUUCUCAAAUGUUUCUUUUCUUCUAUUUUUGCCUUUUUAUCAUAUUGUUAGUGCGCUCAACGCGAGAGCAGCGAAAAUUAUUAUUAGUCCCAAUUCGCAAGGUAUUCCCUAACCUCGUCUUGCGAAUUGGGAGAUGACCUAAGCGGACAGAGAAAAAUAAAUGCAAAGAGAAUGAAAAAAAAAAUCGGUUUGAAAAGAAGAAAGUUUUCGGCUCCGUGCGUGUGAUGAAUAGAAAUGGGGAUCGAGAAAGAACAAGAACGAAACCAGAGGAAGAGACAAACAAGAAGGAGAGAAAUAUAUAUAUAUAUAUAUAAAUGUAUAGACAUAGAAACAGAUAGAGAAACAGAAAAAAAAAAGAGAGAAAGACAGAGAUAAAUAGUUAAAAAGUUAUAAGUUAUUGAAAGAACAUAGUCGAAACAGCUCCGACAAGAGAAUAGAGUGAUUACAGAUAAAGCGCUAAGCGCAAAAAUACCGCUUUAUAUUAUAAUAAUAACUCUAAUUAUUCCGAAUUUUCAGCUUUGCAUGAGAACUUCGGAAUCAAAAGUUUAUAAACUUGAACUCAAGUUCAAGCACGCUACUGAGAUCCCUUGCACCAAAACAAAAAACGCAAAUAUAUUACAAUACGUGUGUGAUAUAUUGUGAGUGACGAAUAUUUAGUGGAUCGUCAAAACGCUGUUUUCAUUAGUUACUCUUUCACACAAACAAGUACGUAGACGUCAGAGAAGGAUCUUCAGUCAUGCAAUGACUAAUAUUGAAGUUUAAGUUCUUUUUUUAAGACAAGACACGAGUAACAGUUUACUAUCCACUAAGCAAACUAAUACUCAUUUUUUUAUAAACUCUACGUACUACAGUAUCUAAAUAAAUAAAUACAUGCUUAACAAAUUUCCAAGAAUUCUUACUUCCACAAUAAUAAUAUAUCAAUAUUCCAGAUAUCCUUAAAUAUCUUUUUGAAUUUUUUAUGACACUUUAAUAACAUUCUCUUAUAAUAUUCAUUUCUUCCAUUAAUUUUGAGUUCAAAAUGUUUUAAAGACCUGUCUAUACUGACAAACAUUGUCCUCAAACAAUCCGUGUACAUUAUUUGUCAGCAGUCAGAGUAAUAUUGCUUGGAUCAUGCACACAGAUCAUAUCACAGGAAGUGUCGUGCGUUCACAUUUAGUUUAUCAGCUGAAAUAUAGAUCAAUAGUUAAUCGAUGAAAUUAUCCCAGGAUAUAUUUUAUCUUCUAUUUAUUUACAGAUUGUCGGAGAAUAAUUAUUUGUCAAUACAGAUUAAUCCUUUAUUCAUUCUCUGUAGAAUAAUUUUCAACUUCUUAUACCUAUAAUUCAAAAAUAUAUAUAUAUACAAUCUAUAUAUUCAGAUACUGUGGUACUUUCUUAUUCAAUUUUCUAUCUUCGAACAUUCAAAGUUUCUUUCACAGAAGAAACUUGGAACAUUUUAUCAUUUGGCCAGCAUUAACGUAAAAUUACAAGAAGAGGGGAGCGAGGGAACAACUGAGCACGCGCGAUCAUUCUUGUCCAAUGUAUUCAAUUCAAAUCACAGUGUUCAUCAUGUCAUUAUUUAAAUUGAAUUCCUUUCAAUAUAUCCGAGCAUCUAAGGAGCAUGCUACGUAAAGCGUAUGUAUAUUAGUAUGGAGUGAAAGACAUAUGACGAGCAAAAGCAAUAGAAAAAGGAAUUUGUAAAAGCGAAAACAUAAACCAAUAGAAGCGCUACGAUAUAUCAUAUACAGCUAUAUCAAUAAUAAUAAUUAAUAUGAGUUCCA